GCGCGCGCUGGGGCUCGCCGCCGCCGCGGUGCCCGCUGCGGUUCCGGCCGUGCCAGCAUGGUGGAUGUGUUCAGCGGGCGGCUCCUGGUCAGCAAGGAUGGCCGCAGCGUGGACCCCGAGGAGGCUCUGCAGAACAAGGUCGUGGGCUUGUACUUCUCCGCCGGCUGGUGCUCGCCGUGCCGCGACUUCACUCCCGUCCUCUGCAACUUCUACGUGGAGCUGCUGGAGGAGACCGAGCCCCCCGCGCCCUUCGAGGUCGUCUUCAUCUCCUCCGACCACAGCGCAGAGGAGAUGGUGGGCUACAUGCGCGCCAUGCACGGGGACUGGCUGGCUCUGCCCUUCCACGACCCCUACAAGCAUGAUCUGAAGAAGAAGUACAACAUAACAGCAAUUCCUAAACUGGUGAUUGUGAAACAAUCUGGAGAAGUCAUUACUGACAAGGGAAGAAAACAGAUCAGAGACAAAGGGGUAUCCUGUUUCCGGAACUGGCUUGAGGGUGCAGAUAUCUUUCAGAAUUUUUCUAGCUAAAAUGCUGACAAAUAAAAGCAAGAAAAGGCAUUGUGGAAAACUCAGUAGAGCUCUGAAAAGACUUUUGCUUUGUUAAGAAUGAGAAGGCUGUUGAAAAACCUCCUGCCUGACCAGAAUCUGUGAAGUAGGCUGUGUUUGCAGUAUGACAGAAGUGUGGUGUAAUUAUCAUGCUGGAUGGAGCUCAGGUGAUUACUGAAGUGGAACAUAGUCCACAGGGUGAGAUAACACAUUAUUAGUAACAGGUACAUCUGAAACUGCAGACACUCUUCCAGAAGAUAGUUCAUCAUCACUGGCUCAGGCAGGUGAUUGUAUCCAGAGAAAAACGAAAUCACAUUCAUACUAUCCCUGCAAUGCGCAAAUGUCCAAAUGGGACCAGACAGAUUCUUGAAGAGAAAUUCUCCCUUAUGCUAAAACAAGCCCAUUGACUGUAGCAGGAUUUUUGGAGACAGACACAGAGAGGCCUGACAAUGCUGGGAAAGUUCUGUUGUUUUAGCACUGUCAAGGACGAUGAGCCUGAGAACCAGGACACUGAGCCUGAGAACCAGCUUUUUCCCUCAAUAAAGUGUAAACAGGUAACUGCAAAGGAAUGCUUAUGCAGAUAACACUAGCCAAUAGCGAGUAGUAAAAUGCCAUGUGAACAG
This is an RNA transcript of Hirundo rustica (Barn swallow), 1169 nucleotides long. It is a transcript of the gene named nucleoredoxin like 2, with no coding region annotated. NCBI's taxonomy places the organism in Eukaryota, Metazoa, Chordata, Aves, Passeriformes, Hirundinidae. The record is from RefSeq and is a predicted model, not a curated record. The transcript has 5 exons.